This 89-nucleotide transfer RNA is filed under the name Rubrivivax sp. RNAcentral's name for it is "tRNA-Leu". It matches the Rfam family "tRNA". Rfam says of the family: Transfer RNA (tRNA) molecules are approximately 80 nucleotides in length. Their secondary structure includes four short double-helical elements and three loops (D, anti-codon, and T loops). Further hydrogen bonds mediate the characteristic L-shaped molecular structure. tRNAs have two regions of fundamental functional importance: the anti-codon, which is responsible for specific mRNA codon recognition, and the 3' end, to which the tRNAs corresponding amino acid is attached (by aminoacyl-tRNA synthetases). tRNAs cope with the degeneracy of the genetic code in two manners: having more than one tRNA (with a specific anti-codon) for a particular amino acid; and 'wobble' base-pairing, i.e. permitting non-standard base-pairing at the 3rd anti-codon position. RNAcentral also lists the same sequence under 1 other name. The record is from RNAcentral. Lineage: Bacteria; Pseudomonadati; Pseudomonadota; Betaproteobacteria; Burkholderiales; Sphaerotilaceae.
GCCCGGGUGGCGAAAUCGGCAGACGCAGCGGACUUAAAAUCCGCGGCCCCUCGCGGGGCAUACGGGUUCGAGCCCCGUCCCGGGCACCA